UUUUUUAAGUAACAGCAAAGUUUGGUUAAUUCUUUCCCCCUCUAUAUAUUUGUACCUCCACUCGUCUUACAUCUCCACAAAUCCUUGACAAAGAAUAAUUCUUCGGUUUCAUUUUCCUCCCCAUCCAAAUAAAAUUACAUACACAUGUUUAUUAUGUUCCCUUUACAACCGACGCAUAAGCCAUCCAACAUUCAUAUUUAGAAGUCUUGUAUACAUAUAUACUACGUAUGGAAUAAUAGUCGUGCCUGGCUCCCUGUAUACCACAAGAAAACACCGAUCUCAUUAUGAAAUCGAUCGCUAGUGGUGUAUAGAGUAGUCAAGCAUGACCAAAGCUUUUCUUGAUAUAUAAGUACUUUGUCUUUGUAACGCAUAAUGUCUAUAAAAUUUCUGGUAUAUGUAUGCAUGAAUUAUGUUUAGAAAUUUCUGUUUUUUUCAUAUGCAUCUUCAUUAUUUUCUUAGCGUCCUUUAUUUAUUAAUGUCUUAUUUGGUAUUAAGCAGGUAUUAAUGAUAUUACAUUUCUAAGUGUAAUGAAUGUAAUGAAAUCAUAAUUCAACUAUUAUAUCCAUAUAUUGUUUUUCUAUCUUUAUGUUGAAAAAUAUAGGUGUCUCUAUCUAUCAGUGAUUCCUGAUCAUGUAUGUUUAAUCACUAAACUUCUUAGAAGUUGUAAUUUAUCAUACUUAUGCUGUCUCGCUAACUGUUCAAUUUCUCUAUUCACUUUAACAAAAUCUUGCAAUGAUAGCUUUGCAAGGUGGGUACAUGGAUAAGCUUUGCCAGCUAUCCAAGAGGGUUUAAGCUUUAGAUUGAGAUUUAUGGGAGGUAAAAUGAAUUAGUGGUAACUUGACGUACUAACCAGAUUGAAAAACAUCAGUCACCUGAGUUACCUCAAAUGCUUCUCCAAUUGUUGAUGUUCCUUACCACAUCUUCUUCCUCGCUACAUUCAUCGAUUUGUUUCCUGCUGUGUAUGUCACUGUCCGAGGCUGGGAUUGCUCUUGGAGAGUUACAAUCCUUGGUAGAUCUUUAUGAUUUCAUCUCAAUGGCGACUAUAUUUCUCAUCGAUGUACUCUAUGUGACUCCAACCCUAAUUAGCAAGAAAAAGGCGUAGAAGAAGAAGAUCAAUGGAAACAUAAGACAACGCCCUUUCUCAUACAUAUGAUGAUAAUGAUGAUGAUGAAAAAAGCCUGUGUAUAUAUCAUUUAGAAUGCUACGACCAAUUUCAAAACCGAACAUGUUCUCGACAUGUUUGUAACUCAAAAAUAUACUUGAAAAUACUACCAGUUGAGAAAAAAAAAAUACUACCAGUUUUGGACUUCCAUUGUCUUGACAGUUCAAAGGUUCGAUUA
This is a long non-coding RNA of Brassica oleracea var. oleracea, 1340 nucleotides long. RefSeq lists it as uncharacterized. Lineage: Eukaryota; Viridiplantae; Streptophyta; Magnoliopsida; Brassicales; Brassicaceae. The record is from RefSeq and is a predicted model, not a curated record. The transcript is spliced from 3 exons.